This 1488-nucleotide long non-coding RNA is filed under the name Phascolarctos cinereus (koala). Its description in RNAcentral is "lncRNA (ENSPCIG00000021960.2)". The record is from RNAcentral. Lineage: Eukaryota; Metazoa; Chordata; Mammalia; Diprotodontia; Phascolarctidae.
CCCUGGCCGGCCUACUUACAGCAUUGGCCGGCCCGCUUGUCAUUCCCACCGUGGCUCCCAUUCAUGCAGUUUGGUUGCGUCUUGGUGUAUUUGAGUGUUUGCAAUAAAAAGGGCUUUUAAUUUUUGGAGGUGCAGGUCCAGCUGCAAUUAGUUCACUGAAAAGUCUACCGCCUUGCAAGCAGCCAACCGCGGCUAGCUUUAGCUCUUCAUUUCUCCCUUGCAAUUGCAAGCCACUAAUUCAGAGGAGCAACUAUGCCCAAAAGAAAGGCAGCCGUUGAAGGGCAGGUAAAGGAAGAGCCAAAGAGGCGGUCACCUAGAUUAUCUGCUGUAAGUAUUGCCUGUUUUCUCUGGUGAUAACAGCCUGUUUUGUGAGGUGCCAUUUUAAAGAAACCGAACAAAUGAGACGAUCACGUUUAGUGUUGGGCUUACUUGGGAAAUUAUGAGAAAACACCACCACUUGGGAAAUCUAUCAUUUCACUUGUGUUUGAAGUAUAUACAUUCCAGUUGGUGGAACAGUUGGAUUCCCUUAUUUGUGAGUCAUCCUGUUGCAGUGACAGAUUUGUUUCUACAUUUCUCUGACCUCUGGUUUUUUUUGUGUGUGUGUAUAUAUGUAUAUGUGUGUAUAUGUGUGCCUGUGCAGAAGCCUGUUCCUCCUAAAUCUGAGCCCAAAACCAAAAAGGCAGCAGCCCCAAAGAAAGUGAACGUAGCAAAUGAUAAAAAGGAAAUCAAAGGCAAGAAAGGGGCUGCCAAAGUCAAAGUGGAAACCAAGCAGGAGGAAGUGAAAGAAGAAAACCACUCUGAAAAUGGAGAGACCCAAACUAAUGAGGUGCCAGCUGUGGAAGAACCCGAGGAGAAAGUAACCAAGCCUGAGUAAUACGUAACACUGCCCUAUAUCUCCAUCAGUUUGGUAUCUGUAACUCCAUCCUGUAUUGUCGACAGAGAGGAAUAUUUUUAUCAACUAUUUUCUAAAUGCAGGUUUUUUUUUUUUAGCAUGAAGUUAAUUUUGGAACGUCUCCAUCUUGGUCGCUUGGGUAUGAUGUCACCAACAACAUAUCACUGUCUCUGCAUUUUGUGAUUGUAAUAGUUUGAUCUAUGGGAAGAAUAAGUGGUGGUAGCUUCUGACUUUUGUCACUGUGUACCCUUCCUUGUGUAAGCUAUCCUUUCCGUCCUUUGAAUUUUUCUUUGGCCCUGGUACAUGUUUAAUUCAGUGAAGUGGGGAGGCCCCAAGUAGAAAGUUCUUGCAUCGGCUAGUCCGGGGUGUCUGUGGGUUGAUUUUAUAAAGAAGGUGAGCUAUUUUCAUGAAAUUCUAAGAGUUGGAAAUAUCUUUCCCAAAUAUAACUUUAAUAUUAGUUUUUGAAAGAAAGUAAAAUGUAAUCAUGUUUUUAAAUGAAAUACAAAUGUUUAUUUCAGAAGGGCAGGUUGAUUGUAUGUGUAGCCACUAUUAGAAAUUUUGCUGGAUUUAUCUUAAUAAAAUAAAAAGACUCCUCA